Molecule: RNA transcript, 1325 nt
Organism: Brassica napus (rape)
Lineage: Eukaryota; Viridiplantae; Streptophyta; Magnoliopsida; Brassicales; Brassicaceae
Gene name: glutaredoxin-C5, chloroplastic
Exons: 6
Source: RefSeq, a predicted model, not a curated record
GGACAAGUCACGAGACAAGUAACACAAAGAAAGCUCCAAGAAUCUGUCGACUUUCUGAGAAUCCAAAGGUCAGAAGAUCGCCAUGGCAGUCACAGCAUUCAACACAUUGAGACUUGUAUCGUCUUCUCUAGAUUCGAUUCCUUCAAUCUCUUUUUCUACUUCUUAUUCGUUAUCUCUGAUCAGCGUCGGUGGCAUCACAUGUUCUGAUGUCAAAAGAUGUCUAAAGCACACAUGUUCUGUCCGAGCCAUGUCUUCUUCUUCUUCUUCGGCUGCUUCGUCUUCUACCUUCGGAUCAAGAAUGGAGGAGAGCGUGAAGAAAACGGUGACUGAGAACGUUGUCGUUGUUUACUCCAAAACAUGGUGCUCAUACUGUAUUGAAGUGAAGACAUUGUUCAAGAGACUUGGAGUUCAGCCAUUGGUGAUCGAAUUGGAUGAACUUGGUCCACAAGGGCCACAACUGCAGAAGGUACUGGAAAGACUUACUGGACAACGCACUGUUCCUAAUGUGUUUGUUGGAGGCAAGCACAUUGGUGGCUGCACAGAUACAGUGAAGCUGAAGAGGAAGGGAGAUCUGGCAUUGAUGUUAGCUGAAGCCAACGGUAAAACCGAUCAGACUUUAAGGAAGUGAUGAAACUGGUUUGGAGAUUUUGCAUGUGAAUUCUUGGAAGAGUUUUUUAACUACUUUCUCUCUCUCUCUGUCUCUUAUUUUCAAGCCUGUAAAGUGAUCCACAAGUUACAACAACAACAACAAGAACAAUUUUUUUUUUUGUAAAUUUCAUUUUAGUUUACCUUAAAAAGGUAAUGAAGCUUUUUGCUUGUAAAUGACCCAGUUCAGAAGUAAGCAGACGCAAGUGGUCAGGCCCUCUAGGGAUGAGGAUCGAAGGGAACACUUAAAUUAUAUAGCUGGUCAUGUGGAUUAUAUGAAAGAAGCGUGUAAGAGAAGUAAAGAGAUUAUACAAGGGCUUGUUAAGAGAGGUGUUGUUGUGGUGGCUUUUGCUUCGUAUGGGAAGAAAGAAGCCUGUUUUGGAGUUGUAAGAGACUGACAUUGCGGAUGAAGAGAUAAGCUAGAGAAAGAGGAGGUUGUGGCGUGUGUCUCAAGAUUUUAUCUCAGAAUGGGAAAUUUAAGAACCGUUCGACAUAAAGAGUAGUAACUCAUGAGUUGAAAGAAUCAAGUGUGUAAGUGUUCUUGAUUAGUUUCUUUUCUUGACAGAGUUGGUUAGAUGAGCACAAGAACCUUGCUGGUGUUGCUAAUAGAUUUGAAACCGGUUUAAACUGAAUCUUGCAUCAGUUCUUAAGCUGAAUGUGAGUGUGAUUUUAGGUAUUUA